UACGUAGGGUGCGAGCGUUAAUCGGAAUUACUGGGCGUAAAGAGUGCGUAGGCGGUUCGUUAAGUCAGUUGUGAAAGCCCCGGGCUCAACCUGGGAAUUGCGGUUGAAACUGGCGAACUAGAAUCUGGCAGAGGGGGGUGGAAUUCCACGUGUAGCAGUGAAAUGCGUAGAGAUGUGGAGGAACACCGAUGGCGAAGGCAGCCCCCUGGGCUGAGAUUGACGCUCAGGCACGAAAGCGUGGGGAGCAAACAGG
Molecule: ribosomal RNA, 253 nt
Filed under: uncultured bacterium
Lineage: Bacteria
Description: partial 16S ribosomal RNA
Rfam family: Bacterial small subunit ribosomal RNA
Source: RNAcentral